RNAcentral lists this ribosomal RNA (2577 nucleotides) under Staphylococcus aureus. RNAcentral's name for it is "partial 23S ribosomal RNA". It matches the Rfam family "Bacterial large subunit ribosomal RNA", at positions 321 to 2904 of the family's 2925-position model. The record is from RNAcentral. Lineage: Bacteria; Bacillati; Bacillota; Bacilli; Caryophanales; Staphylococcaceae.
GGACGACAUUAGACGAAUCAUCUGGAAAGAUGAAUCAAAGAAGGUAAUAAUCCUGUAGUCGAAAAUGUUGUCUCUCUUGAGUGGAUCCUGAGUACGACGGAGCACGUGAAAUUCCGUCGGAAUCUGGGAGGACCAUCUCCUAAGGCUAAAUACUCUCUAGUGACCGAUAGUGAACCAGUACCGUGAGGGAAAGGUGAAAAGCACCCCGGAAGGGGAGUGAAAUAGAACCUGAAACCGUGUGCUUACAAGUAGUCAGAGCCCGUUAAUGGGUGAUGGCGUGCCUUUUGUAGAAUGAACCGGCGAGUUACGAUUUGAUGCAAGGUUAAGCAGUAAAUGUGGAGCCGUAGCGAAAGCGAGUCUGAAUAGGGCGUUUAGUAUUUGGUCGUAGACCCGAAACCAGGUGAUCUACCCUUGGUCAGGUUGAAGUUCAGGUAACACUGAAUGGAGGACCGAACCGACUUACGUUGAAAAGUGAGCGGAUGAACUGAGGGUAGCGGAGAAAUUCCAAUCGAACCUGGAGAUAGCUGGUUCUCUCCGAAAUAGCUUUAGGGCUAGCCUCAAGUGAUGAUUAUUGGAGGUAGAGCACUGUUUGGACGAGGGGCCCCUCUCGGGUUACCGAAUUCAGACAAACUCCGAAUGCCAAUUAAUUUAACUUGGGAGUCAGAACAUGGGUGAUAAGGUCCGUGUUCGAAAGGGAAACAGCCCAGACCACCAGCUAAGGUCCCAAAAUAUAUGUUAAGUGGAAAAGGAUGUGGCGUUGCCCAGACAACUAGGAUGUUGGCUUAGAAGCAGCCAUCAUUUAAAGAGUGCGUAAUAGCUCACUAGUCGAGUGACACUGCGCCGAAAAUGUACCGGGGCUAAACAUAUUACCGAAGCUGUGGAUUGUCCUUUGGACAAUGGUAGGAGAGCGUUCUAAGGGCGUUGAAGCAUGAUCGUAAGGACAUGUGGAGCGCUUAGAAGUGAGAAUGCCGGUGUGAGUAGCGAAAGACGGGUGAGAAUCCCGUCCACCGAUUGACUAAGGUUUCCAGAGGAAGGCUCGUCCGCUCUGGGUUAGUCGGGUCCUAAGCUGAGGCCGACAGGCGUAGGCGAUGGAUAACAGGUUGAUAUUCCUGUACCACCUAUAAUCGUUUUAAUCGAUGGGGGGACGCAGUAGGAUAGGCGAAGCGUGCGAUUGGAUUGCACGUCUAAGCAGUAAGGCUGAGUAUUAGGCAAAUCCGGUACUCAUUAAGGCUGAGCUGUGAUGGGGAGAAGACAUUGUGUCUUCGAGUCGUUGAUUUCACACUGCCGAGAAAAGCCUCUAGAUAGAAAAUAGGUGCCCGUACCGCAAACCGACACAGGUAGUCAAGAUGAGAAUUCUAAGGUGAGCGAGCGAACUCUCGUUAAGGAACUCGGCAAAAUGACCCCGUAACUUCGGGAGAAGGGGUGCUCUUUAGGGUUAACGCCCAGAAGAGCCGCAGUGAAUAGGCCCAAGCGACUGUUUAUCAAAAACACAGGUCUCUGCUAAACCGUAAGGUGAUGUAUAGGGGCUGACGCCUGCCCGGUGCUGGAAGGUUAAGAGGAGUGGUUAGCUUCUGCGAAGCUACGAAUCGAAGCCCCAGUAAACGGCGGCCGUAACUAUAACGGUCCUAAGGUAGCGAAAUUCCUUGUCGGGUAAGUUCCGACCCGCACGAAAGGCGUAACGAUUUGGGCACUGUCUCAACGAGAGACUCGGUGAAAUCAUAGUACCUGUGAAGAUGCAGGUUACCCGCGACAGGACGGAAAGACCCCGUGGAGCUUUACUGUAGCCUGAUAUUGAAAUUCGGCACAGCUUGUACAGGAUAGGUAGGAGCCUUUGAAACGUGAGCGCUAGCUUACGUGGAGGCGCUGGUGGGAUACUACCCUAGCUGUGUUGGCUUUCUAACCCGCACCACUUAUCGUGGUGGGAGACAGUGUCAGGCGGGCAGUUUGACUGGGGCGGUCGCCUCCUAAAAGGUAACGGAGGCGCUCAAAGGUUCCCUCAGAAUGGUUGGAAAUCAUUCAUAGAGUGUAAAGGCAUAAGGGAGCUUGACUGCGAGACCUACAAGUCGAGCAGGGUCGAAAGACGGACUUAGUGAUCCGGUGGUUCCGCAUGGAAGGGCCAUCGCUCAACGGAUAAAAGCUACCCCGGGGAUAACAGGCUUAUCUCCCCCAAGAGUUCACAUCGACGGGGAGGUUUGGCACCUCGAUGUCGGCUCAUCGCAUCCUGGGGCUGUAGUCGGUCCCAAGGGUUGGGCUGUUCGCCCAUUAAAGCGGUACGCGAGCUGGGUUCAGAACGUCGUGAGACAGUUCGGUCCCUAUCCGUCGUGGGCGUAGGAAAUUUGAGAGGAGCUGUCCUUAGUACGAGAGGACCGGGAUGGACAUACCUCUGGUGUACCAGUUGUCGUGCCAACGGCAUAGCUGGGUAGCUAUGUGUGGACGGGAUAAGUGCUGAAAGCAUCUAAGCAUGAAGCCCCCCUCAAGAUGAGAUUUCCCAACUUCGGUUAUAAGAUCCCUCAAAGAUGAUGAGGUUAAUAGGUUCGAGGUGGAAGCAUGGUGACAUGUGGAGCUGACGAAUACUAA